GCCUGCGGCCACACCACUUUGAAUAAGCCUGAUCUCGUCUGAUCUCAGAAGUGAAACAAUGUAUGGCUUGGUUAGUUCUUGGAUGGGAGACCGUCUGGGAAUAUCAAGUGCUGUAGGCAUU
RNAcentral lists this ribosomal RNA (121 nucleotides) under Acipenser oxyrinchus (Atlantic sturgeon). Lineage: Eukaryota; Metazoa; Chordata; Actinopteri; Acipenseriformes; Acipenseridae. The record is from RNAcentral.